GCGAACCGAGGGGCGGGAGGGGCGAGCCUGGGAGUGCCCUUGAGCCUCCAUCAGGGUGGUGGGACUCAGAGAAUGAGGUGAUGGUGGUGAUGGUGGUGUGGUGGAGACGAAACUGUUGGAGGAAGCUGGUGGUGAUGAUAGUGAUGAUGUGAAGUGGCUAUAUGACGAAGGUGGUGAAGGUGGUGGUGAUGCAUGCUGAGGGCUAAAGGGAGUGUGAAUAGGGGUUUGACUAGGGGUGUUCCUGUACCCUUGGUCAUUGUCCUGGUGGAGAAGUUUGAAGUACAGGUAAGGGUUAUCAGUGUUCCCUCUGUAGGAUGGAUGCGAGGCGGGAACAGGGGACUUAUUGAGGUCAGAGAAUGGCUGGGAGUAACCUGACGGCGGCGCUGAAGGAGGGUGGGAAGCGGAAGGGUUGUCUUUGUUACUAUUAUUUGUGUGGAAAGAAUGUGUGGCUUUCUGGGCCUCGGAAAUGUACGAAGAUUGAUGGUUUCUUGGAUUACGAUGAUUAGAAAACGGGUCAUUUUUUGAAACAAAGGAUGGUGGGAGUUUGGGGGUGAUUAAACUAGAAUCAUGACUAUUUAGAUUAGCGCGACUAGAAGGCUUAAGAUUGGCCGCCGAAGUGGAGUACUGAACGAAACUGGUGAUAGCUGGCAACCCACCACCACCACCACCACCACCACUAACUGGGUUUAGAUGCUUCGAGACACGUGGCGGAGCGUUUCGAAUCACGCUACUCGAACCCUGACCGCUAGAUGGCAGGUGUACUCUGGGUAAUGAGGGUUUUUGGGCGUCAGUUGGACUUUGAGAGUGAGAAGGUGUGGUGUUGUGUGUGUGACUGAUCUUCGCCUCCACCUUCGACGUCUUAAAGGCUAUAGCAGUGACGAUAAACACAACAUCAACAACAGCAGCAUUCUGAGGACGGAUUGGCACUACAAAUCUCCUGUAUCACGUUUUCUUCGCAAAUGAGUCGCUUUGAAGUGGUGGGUAGAGAGAUGGACUGAGUGGGAAUGCUGAAGGUUGUAAUAAGUGUUUCGGAUUUGCUUGAGUGCUUUAAGGAAUGUAUACGAGAGUGUUUGAUUCGCGAAGAGAAGACGAGGAAGAAGAGGAGGAGAAGAAGAAAGAAGAAAGAAGAAGAAGAGGAAGAAGAAGAAGAAGAGGAAGAAGAAGACGAAGAAAAAGAAGAAGAAGACGAAGAAAAAGAAGAAGAAGAAGAAGAAGAAGAAGAAGAAGAAGAAAGCAAGAACGAUGAGGAAGAGAGAGGAAAUGUAGGAAAGAGAAAAAAAGGAGGAAGAGUUGGAAGAGGAGAUAUUAGAGGAGGAGGAAAAGGAGGAGGAGGAAGAAUAGAGUUAGAAAAAUGGAAGGUAGAAGAGAAGACACAACUAAUGAGGAGGAGGAUGGAGGAAGAAGAAGAAUAUAGGUCAGAAAAACGGAAGAUGGAAGAGGAGGCUGGGGAAAGAGAGGAAAGAGGGGGAGGAGGAGGAGGAGAGGGAGAAGAAUGAGAAAUUUAUGUUAGAAGUCGAGGAAGAGAUAGAGGAGGACUGAGAGGAAGAAGAAGGAGGAGGAAGAAUAUAUAGUAUUUGGAGGAAGAGAGGAACAAGCAAAGAAAACGGGAGCAAUAAGAAAAUAUUCGUGGUUAUUGUAGUGUAAAAUCCUUCGCCUUUUCUACCAUCAUAAAGGGGAAAUAUUUAGAUUAAAUUUUUGCCUAAGGUACGUGUGAGGAAUAUACAUUACGUCUCUCUCUCUCUCUCUCUCUCUCUCUCUCUCUCUCUCUCUCUCUCUCUCUCUCUCUCUCUCUCUCUCUCUCUCUCUUUCAAUGGUACUUAAAGUACAGUUGUUUACAAAACGAUAUUUUAAAAGCCGUAAAAGUGUGUGUGUGUGUGUG
This is a long non-coding RNA of Scylla paramamosain (green mud crab), 1879 nucleotides long. RefSeq lists it as uncharacterized. The record is from RefSeq and is a predicted model, not a curated record. Lineage: Eukaryota; Metazoa; Arthropoda; Malacostraca; Decapoda; Portunidae. The transcript is spliced from 4 exons.